Molecule: transfer RNA, 65 nt
Filed under: Sinopyrophorus schimmeli
Lineage: Eukaryota; Metazoa; Arthropoda; Insecta; Coleoptera; Elateridae
Description: Elateridae sp. JWH-2018 tRNA-Phe
Source: RNAcentral
AUUUUAAUAGCUUAUAAUUAGAGCAUGAUAUUGAAGAUAUCAAGGAGGUUUUGAACCUUAAAAUA